RNAcentral lists this ribosomal RNA (156 nucleotides) under uncultured Acidaminobacter sp. Its description in RNAcentral is "partial 16S ribosomal RNA". It matches the Rfam family "Bacterial small subunit ribosomal RNA", at positions 354 to 524 of the family's 1533-position model. Lineage: Bacteria; Bacillati; Bacillota; Clostridia; Peptostreptococcales; Acidaminobacteraceae. The record is from RNAcentral.
GGUGUGAAUAUUGCACAAUGGGCGCAAGCCUGAUGCAGCAACGCCGCGUGAAUGAUGAAGGCCUUCGGGUCGUAAAGUUCUGUCCUAAGGGAAGAAUACAGUGACGGUACCUUAGGAGGAAGCCCCGGCUAACUACGUGCCAGCACCCGCGGUAAA